Molecule: long non-coding RNA, 106 nt
Organism: Maniola jurtina (meadow brown)
Lineage: Eukaryota; Metazoa; Arthropoda; Insecta; Lepidoptera; Nymphalidae
Exons: 2
Source: RefSeq, a predicted model, not a curated record
AUCUGGCCCGCGACAGCCAAUUUCUUAUUGUUGUUACUAUUGCUGUGAUAAAAAUAUAGUUAAGGGCAGAAAAAUUUAAACUGUUUUGACCCUUGGAACAUACUGA